This 618-nucleotide ribosomal RNA is filed under the name uncultured bacterium. RNAcentral's name for it is "bacterial SSU rRNA". The stretch from base 1 to 515 matches the Rfam family "Bacterial small subunit ribosomal RNA", at positions 338 to 873 of the family's 1533-position model. The record is from RNAcentral.
CCUACGGGAGGCAGCAGUGGGGAAUCUUGCGCAAUGGACGAAAGUCUGACGCAGCCAUGCCGCGUGAGUGAUGAAGGUCUUAGGAUUGUAAAGCUCUUUCGCUCGCGACGAUGAUGACGGUAGCGAGAGAAGAAGCCCCGGCUAACUUCGUGCCAGCAGCCGCGGUGAUACGAAGGGGGCUAGCGUUGUUCGGAAUUACUGGGCGUAAAGCGUGCGCAGGCGGUUUUUUAAGCCAGAGGUGAAAUCCCGGAGCUCAACUUCGGAAUGGCCUUUGGAACUGGAAAGCUUGAGAACGGUAGAGGUGAGUGGAAUUCCCAGUGUAGAGGUGAAAUUCGUAGAUAUUGGGAAGAACACCGGUGGCGAAGGCGGCUCACUGGACCGUUUCUGACGCUCAGGCACGAAAGCGUGGGGAGCAAACAGGAUUAGAUACCCUGGUAGUCCACGCCUUAAACGAUGAUGCUAGCGUUGUGAGCGAUGCUCUCAGUGGCGCAGACUACGUCGUGAGCACUCCCGCCGUCGGGGAGGUACCGGCCGGACCGAACGGUUAAAACCGUUAAAACGUUAGUAAGUUAGUACGGACGUGAGACGUAGCCGACGGACGACCGACGAGGGAGGAGG